This 253-nucleotide ribosomal RNA is filed under the name uncultured bacterium. Its description in RNAcentral is "partial 16S ribosomal RNA". It matches the Rfam family "Bacterial small subunit ribosomal RNA", at positions 524 to 776 of the family's 1533-position model. The record is from RNAcentral.
UACGAAGGGGGCUAGCGUUGUUCGGAAUUACUGGGCGUAAAGCGCACGUAGGCGGGUUGUUAAGUCAGGGGUGAAAUCCCGGAGCUCAACUUCGGAACUGCCCUUGAUACAGCACGUCUCGAGUCCGAGAGAGGUGAGUGGAAUUCCUAGUGUAGAGGUGAAAUUCGUAGAUAUUAGGAAGAACACCAGUGGCGAAGGCGGCUCACUGGCUCGGUACUGACGCUGAGGUGCGAAAGCGUGGGGAGCAAACAGG